Molecule: ribosomal RNA, 1346 nt
Filed under: uncultured bacterium
Lineage: Bacteria
Description: partial 16S ribosomal RNA
Rfam family: Bacterial small subunit ribosomal RNA
Source: RNAcentral
GACGAACGCUGUCGGCGUGCUUAACACAUGCAAGUCGAACGGAAAGGCCCUGCUUUUGUGGGGUGCUCGAGUGGCGAGCGGGUGAGUAACACGUGAGUAACCUGCCCUUGACUUUGGGAUAACUUCAGGAAACUGGGGCUAAUACCGGAUAGGAGCUCCUGCUGCAUGGUGGGGGUUGGAAAGUUUCGGCGGUUGGGGAUGGACUCGCGGCUUAUCAGCUUGUUGGUGGGGUAGUGGCUUACCAAGGCUUUGACGGGUAGCCGGCCUGAGAGGGUGACCGGCCACAUUGGGACUGAGAUACGGCCCAGACUCCUACGGGAGGCAGCAGUGGGGAAUAUUGCACAAUGGGCGGAAGCCUGAUGCAGCAACGCCGCGUGCGGGAUGACGGCCUUCGGGUUGUAAACCGCUUUCGCCUGUGACGAAGCGUGAGUGACGGUAAUGGGUAAAGAAGCACCGGCUAACUACGUGCCAGCAGCCGCGGUGAUACGUAGGGUGCGAGCGUUGUCCGGAUUUAUUGGGCGUAAAGGGCUCGUAGGUGGUUGAUCGCGUCGGAAGUGUAAUCUUGGGGCUUAACCCUGAGCGUGCUUUCGAUACGGGUUGACUUGAGGAAGGUAGGGGAGAAUGGAAUUCCUGGUGGAGCGGUGGAAUGCGCAGAUAUCAGGAGGAACACCAGUGGCGAAGGCGGUUCUCUGGGCCUUUCCUGACGCUGAGGAGCGAAAGCGUGGGGAGCGAACAGGCUUAGAUACCCUGGUAGUCCACGCCGUAAACGGUGGGUACUAGGUGUGGGGUCCAUUCCACGGGUUCCGUGCCGUAGCUAACGCUUUAAGUACCCCGCCUGGGGAGUACGGCCGCAAGGCUAAAACUCAAAGGAAUUGACGGGGCCCCGCACAAGCGGCGGAGCAUGCGGAUUAAUUCGAUGCAACGCGUAGAACCUUACCUGGGUUUGACAUGGAUCGGGAGUGCUCAGAGAUGGGUGUGCCUCUUUUGGGGUCGGUUCACAGGUGGUGCAUGGCUGUCGUCAGCUCGUGUCGUGAGAUGUUGGGUUAAGUCCCGCAACGAGCGCAACCCUUGUUCACUGUUGCCAGCACGUUAUGGUGGGGACUCAGUGGAGACCGCCGGGGUCAACUCGGAGGAAGGUGGGGAUGACGUCAAGUCAUCAUGCCCCUUAUGUCCAGGGCUUCACGCAUGCUACAAUGGCUGGUACAGAGAGUGGCGAGCCUGUGAGGGUGAGCGAAUCUCGGAAAGCCGGUCUCAGUUCGGAUUGGGGUCUGCAACUCGACCUCAUGAAGUCGGAGUCGCUAGUAAUCGCAGAUCAGCAACGCUGCGGUGAAUACGUUCCCGGGGCU